Molecule: ribosomal RNA, 699 nt
Filed under: uncultured bacterium
Lineage: Bacteria
Description: bacterial SSU rRNA
Rfam family: Bacterial small subunit ribosomal RNA
Source: RNAcentral
AACGAUGGGUGCUAGUUGUCAGGCAGCAUGCUGUUUGGUGACGCAGCUAACGCGUUAAGCACCCCGCCUGGGGACUACGGUCGCAAGACUAAAACUCAAAGGAAUUGACGGGGGCCCGCACAAGCGGUGGAGCAUGUGGUUUAAUUCGAGGCAACGCGAAGAACCUUACCGGCCCUUGACAUACCAAUCGCGGAUAGCAGAGAUGCUUUCCUUCAGUUCGGCUGGAUUGGAUACAGGUGCUGCAUGGUUGUCGUCAGCUCGUGUCGUGAGAUGUUGGGUUAAGUCCCGCAACGAGCGCAACCCUCGCCUUUAGUUGCCAGCAUUAAGUUGGGCACUCUAGAGGGACUGCCGGUGAUAAGCCGGAGGAAGGUGGGGAUGACGUCAAAUCAUCACGGCCCUUACGGGCCGGGCUACACACGUGCUACAAUGGCGGUGACAGUGAGCAGCCACUCAGCGAUGAGGAGCUAAUCUCUAAAAGCCGUCUCAGUUCGGAUUGUUCUCUGCAACUCGAGAGCAUGAAGUUGGAAUCGCUAGUAAUCGUGGAUCAGCAUGCCACGGUGAAUACGUUCCCGGGCCUUGUACACACCGCCCGUCACACCAUGGGAGUUGGUUUUACCCGAAGACUGUGUGCUAACUUUUAGAGGCAGCAGGCCACGGUAAGGUCAGCGACUGGGGUGAAGUCGUAACAAGGUAGCCGUA